RNAcentral lists this ribosomal RNA (550 nucleotides) under Xylaria curta. RNAcentral describes it as "eukaryotic LSU rRNA". The stretch from base 175 to 328 matches the Rfam family "5.8S ribosomal RNA". Lineage: Eukaryota; Fungi; Ascomycota; Sordariomycetes; Xylariales; Xylariaceae. The record is from RNAcentral.
AAAGAAAACUCCAACCCAUGUGAAUAUACCUAUUUGUUUGCCUCGGCGGGGCGCGCCUACCUAGUAGCCCCUUUAACCUGUUAGGGCCUACCCGGAAGAGGCGAGAUGACCUGCUCGGUGGCCCACGAAACUCUGUCUAAUAUUAAAUUCUGAAUCUAUAACUAAAUAAGUUAAAACUUUCAACAACGGAUCUCUUGGUUCUGGCAUCGAUGAAGAACGCAGCGAAAUGCGAUAAGUAAUGUGAAUUGCAGAAUUCAGUGAAUCAUCGAAUCUUUGAACGCACAUUGCGCCCAUUAGUAUUCUAGUGGGCAUGCCUGUUCGAGCGUCAUUUCAACCCUUAAGCCCCUGUUGCUUAGGGUUGGGAGCCUACAGCACUCGCUGUAGCUCCUUAAAAUUAGUGGAGGAGUCGGUUCACACUCUAGAAGUAGUACUCUUUACCUCGCCUGUAGUGAGACCGGUCCCCUGCCAUAAAACCCCCCAAUUUUGAAAAGGUUGACCUCGGAUCAGGUAGGAAUACCCCCUGAACUUAAGCAUAUCAAUAAGGCGGAAG